AUAAUGGGUCAGCGACUUAUAUUCUGUAGCAAGGUUAACCGAAUAGGGGAGCCGAAGGGAAACCGAGUCUUAACUGGGCGUUAAGUUGCAGGGUAUAGACCCGAAACCCGGUGAUCUAGCCAUGGGCAGGUUGAAGGUUGGGUAACACUAACUGGAGGACCGAACCGACUAAUGUUGAAAAAUUAGCGGAUGACUUGUGGCUGGGGGUGAAAGGCCAAUCAAACCGGGAGAUAGCUGGUUCUCCCCGAAAGCUAUUUAGGUAGCGCCUCGUGAAUUCAUCUCCGGGGGUAGAGCACUGUUUCGGCAAGGGGGUCAUCCCGACUUACCAACCCGAUGCAAACUGCGAAUACCGGAGAAUGUUAUCACGGGAGACACACGGCGGGUGCUAACGUCCGUCGUGAAGAGGGAAACAACCCAGACCGCCAGCUAAGGUCCCAAAGUCAUGGUUAAGUGGGAAACGAUGUGGGAAGGCCCAGACAGCCAGGAUGUUGGCUUAGAAGCAGCCAUCAUUUAAAGAAAGCGUAAUAGCUCACUGGUCGAGUCGGCCUGCGCGGAAGAUGUAACGGGGCUAAACCAUGCACCGAAGCUGCGGCAGCGACACUGUGUGUUGUUGGGUAGGGGAGCGUUCUGUAAGCCUGUGAAGGUGUGCUGUGAGGCAUGCUGGAGGUAUCAGAAGUGCGAAUGCUGACAUAAGUAACGAUAAAGCGGGUGAAAAGCCCGCUCGCCGGAAGACCAAGGGUUCCUGUCCAACGUUAAUCGGGGCAGGGUGAGUCGACCCCUAAGGCGAGGCCGAAAGGCGUAGUCGAUGGGAAACAGGUUAAUAUUCCUGUACUUGGUGUUACUGCGAAGGGGGGACGGAGAAGGCUAUGUUGGCCGGGCGACGGUUGUCCCGGUUUAAGCGUGUAGGCUGGUUUUCCAGGCAAAUCCGGAAAAUCAAGGCUGAGGCGUGAUGACGAGGCACUACGGUGCUGAAGCAACAAAUGCCCUGCUUCCAGGAAAAGCCUCUAAGCAUCAGGUAACAUCAAAUCGUACCCCAAACCGACACAGGUGGUCAGGUAGAGAAUACCAAGGCGCUUGAGAGAACUCGGGUGAAGGAACUAGGCAAAAUGGUGCCGUAACUUCGGGAGAAGGCACGCUGAUAUGUAGGUGAAGUCCCUCGCGGAUGGAGCUGAAAUCAGUCGAAGAUACCAGCUGGCUGCAACUGUUUAUUAAAAACACAGCACUGUGCAAACACGAAAGUGGACGUAUACGGUGUGACGCCUGCCCGGUGCCGGAAGGUUAAUUGAUGGGGUCAGCGCAAGCGAAGCUCUUGAUCGAAGCCCCGGUAAACGGCGGCCGUAACUAUAACGGUCCUAAGGUAGCGAAAUUCCUUGUCGGGUAAGUUCCGACCUGCACGAAUGGCGUAAUGAUGGCCAGGCUGUCUCCACCCGAGACUCAGUGAAAUUGAACUCGCUGUGAAGAUGCAGUGUACCCGCGGCAAGACGGAAAGACCCCGUGAACCUUUACUAUAGCUUGACACUGAACAUUGAGCCUUGAUGUGUAGGAUAGGUGGGAGGCUUUGAAGUGUGGACGCCAGUCUGCAUGGAGCCGACCUUGAAAUACCACCCUUUAAUGUUUGAUGUUCUAACGUGGACCCGUGAUCCGGGUUGCGGACAGUGUCUGGUGGGUAGUUUGACUGGGGCGGUCUCCUCCUAAAGAGUAACGGAGGAGCACGAAGGUUGGCUAAUCCUGGUCGGACAUCAGGAGGUUAGUGCAAUGGCAUAAGCCAGCUUGACUGCGAGCGUGACGGCGCGAGCAGGUGCGAAAGCAGGUCAUAGUGAUCCGGUGGUUCUGAAUGGAAGGGCCAUCGCUCAACGGAUAAAAGGUACUCCGGGGAUAACAGGCUGAUACCGCCCAAGAGUUCAUAUCGACGGCGGUGUUUGGCACCUCGAUGUCGGCUCAUCACAUCCUGGGGCUGAAGUAGGUCCCAAGGGUAUGGCUGUUCGCCAUUUAAAGUGGUACGCGAGCUGGGUUUAGAACGUCGUGAGACAGUUCGGUCCCUAUCUGCCGUGGGCGCUGGAGAACUGAGGGGGGCUGCUCCUAGUACGAGAGGACCGGAGUGGACGCAUCACUGGUGUUCGGGUUGUCAUGCCAAUGGCACUGCCCGGUAGCUAAAUGCGGAAGAGAUAAGUGCUGAAAGCAUCUAAGCACGAAACUUGCCCCGAGAUGAGUUCUCCCUGACCCUUUAAGGGUCCUGAAGGAACGUUGAAGACGACGACGUUGAUAGGCCGGGUGUGUAAGCGCAGCGAUGCGUUGAGCUAACCGGUACUAAUGAACCGUGAGGCUUAACCU
This 2331-nucleotide ribosomal RNA is filed under the name Escherichia coli 99.0848. RNAcentral describes it as "bacterial LSU rRNA". It matches the Rfam family "Bacterial large subunit ribosomal RNA", at positions 612 to 2925 of the family's 2925-position model. The record is from RNAcentral. Lineage: Bacteria; Pseudomonadati; Pseudomonadota; Gammaproteobacteria; Enterobacterales; Enterobacteriaceae.